GACGAACGCUGGCGGCGUGCCUAAUACAUGCAAGUCGAACGCUUCUUUCCUCCCGAGUGCUUGCACUCAAUUGGAAAGAGGAGUGGCGGACGGGUGAGUAACACGUGGGUAACCUACCCAUCAGAGGGGGAUAACACUUGGAAACAGGUGCUAAUACCGCAUAACAGUUUAUGCCGCAUGGCAUAAGAGUGAAAGGCGCUUUCGGGUGUCGCUGAUGGAUGGACCGGCGGUGCAUUAGCUAGUUGGUGAGGUAACGGCUCACCAAGGCCACGAUGCAUAGCCGACCUGAGAGGGUGAUCGGCCACACUGGGACUGAGACACGGCCCAGACUCCUACGGGAGGCAGCAGUAGGGAAUCUGCGGCAAUGGACGAAAGUCUGACCGAGCAACGCCGCGUGAGUGAAGAAGGUUUUCGGAUCGUAAAACUCUGUUGUUAGAGAAGAACAAGGACGUUAGUAACUGAACGUCACCUGACGGUAUCUAACCAGAAAGCCACGGCUAACUACGUG
RNAcentral lists this ribosomal RNA (508 nucleotides) under uncultured bacterium. RNAcentral's name for it is "partial 16S ribosomal RNA". It matches the Rfam family "Bacterial small subunit ribosomal RNA", at positions 28 to 507 of the family's 1533-position model. The record is from RNAcentral.